This 492-nucleotide telomerase RNA is filed under the name Monodelphis domestica (gray short-tailed opossum). RNAcentral describes it as "Vertebrate telomerase RNA". It matches the Rfam family "Vertebrate telomerase RNA". Rfam says of the family: Telomerase is a ribonucleoprotein reverse transcriptase that synthesises telomeric DNA. Telomerase RNAs differ greatly in sequence and structure between vertebrates, ciliates and yeasts, but they share a 5' pseudoknot structure close to the template sequence. Vertebrate telomerase RNAs have a 3' H/ACA snoRNA-like domain. Lineage: Eukaryota; Metazoa; Chordata; Mammalia; Didelphimorphia; Didelphidae. The record is from Rfam by way of RNAcentral.
GAGCAGCGGGUUCGUCCGUCCUGGUUCUUCUAACCCUAAAUACGUGCCGGUGGUGGCGGCUCCUCCUGGGUGGUGCUCACUGUUUUGGUGGCUGACUUUCAGCGGGCAGGAGGAACCGGAGCUGAGCCGGAGAGAUGCGCAAAAACGUCAGCUGAGGCCGGGCGGCCCCGCUCGUGGCCCGUCCGCCCCGUCCGGGCUCGGCCCCGGCCCGAAUCCCCUGGGGGCGUCCUCCGCCAGGCCUGCGCUAGCCCUCGGAGCCCCAUCUGCCCGCGAGCAGAGGCGGCGGCCGUCUCGGGGCCCCUGCGUGCGGGGGCAUCCACUGCGGUCGCCAAGAGUUGGGCUCUGUCAGCCUUUGGGUGCUCGGGGUGCCGGGGGCUCUUACGUAGGCCGGGCGUGGGGCGGGGGCGCAGGGAGAGUAAACGUGAGCGGCGUCCAGCCAAUGAGGCGCUCCCUCGAGCUGUGGGAGCUGCCCCGGGCUCGGCUCAGACACCC